Molecule: ribosomal RNA, 433 nt
Filed under: uncultured bacterium
Lineage: Bacteria
Description: partial 16S ribosomal RNA
Rfam family: Bacterial small subunit ribosomal RNA
Source: RNAcentral
AACGAACGCUGGCGGCAGGCCUAACACAUGCAAGUCGAGCGAGGACUUCGGUUCUAGCGGCGGAUGGGUGAGUAACGCGUGGGAAUGUGCCCUUCUCUACGGAAUAGCUCUGGGAAACUGGGAGCAAUACCGUAUACGCCCUAUUGGGGAAAGAUUUAUCGGAGAAGGAUCAGCCCGCGUUGGAUUAGGUAGUUGGUGGGGUAAUGGCCUACCAAGCCGACGAUCCAUAGCUGGUUUGAGAGGAUGAUCAGCCACACUGGGACUGAGACACGGCCCAGACUCCUACGGGAGGCAGCAGUGGGGAAUCUUAGACAAUGGGGGCAACCCUGAUCUAGCCAUGCCGCGUGAGUGAUGAAGGCCUUAGGGUUGUAAAGCUCUUUCAGCUGGGAAGAUAAUGACGGUACCAGCAGAAGAAGCCCCGGCUAACUCCGUG